CUGGUUGAUCCUGCCAGUAGUCAUAUGCUUGUCUCAAAGAUUAAGCCAUGCAUGUAUAAGUUCACACCUUCAAACGGUGAAACCGCGAAUGGCUCAUUAAAUCAGCUAUGGUUCCUUAGAUCUUACAUCCUUACUUGGAUAACUGUAGUAAUUCUAGAGCUAAUACAUGCUACAAAGCCCUGACUUAACGAAGGGGUGGAUUUAUUAGAACAAAACCAACCGGUUUCGGCCGUUGGCUUGAUGACUCUGGAUAACUUUUCUGAUCGCACGGCCUAGUGCCAGCGACGUAUCUUUCAAAUGUCUGCCCUAUCAACUAUCGAUGGUAGGUGAUAUGCCUACCAUGGUUAUGACGGGUAACGGGGAAUCAGGGUUCGAUUCCGGAGAGGGAGCCUUAGAAAUGGCUACCACAUCUAAGGAAGGCAGCAGGCGCGCAAAUUACCCACUCUCAGCUCGAGGAGGUAGUGACGAAAAAUAACUAUGCGGGACUCUUACGAGGCCCCGCAAUGGGAAUGAGUACAAUUUAAAUCCUUUAACGAGGAACAAUUGGAGGGCAAGUCUGGUGCCAGCAGCCGCGGUAACUCCAGCUCCAAUAGCGUAUAUUAAAGUUGCUGCAGUUAAAAAGCUCGUAGUUGGAUCUCAGGCAAGGAGCUCGUGGUUCAUCUUUAGAUGUGACUGCGAGUUUCCGCCUAAUCAGCCGUUUGUUAUGCCAUGUGCGUUUAACCGCGUGCGUGGUAUACUCGGCACGUUUACUUUGAAAAAAUUAGAGUGCUCAAAGCAGGCCUUGUGCUUGAAUACUGUUGCAUGGAAUAAUAGAAUAGGACUUCGGUUCUAUUUUGUUGGUUUUCGGAAUCGAGGUAAUGAUUAAAAGAGACAGACGGGGGCAUCUGUAUGGUGGUGUUAGAGGUGAAAUUCGAUGAUCGCCGCCAGACAAACAACUGCGAAAGCAUUUGCCAAGGAUGUUUUCAUUAAUCAAGAACGAAAGUCAGAGGUUCGAAGACGAUCAGAUACCGUCCUAGUUCUGACCAUAAACGAUGCCAACUGACGAUCGGGGUUUUUUAUUUUUUUGAACCCCGGCAGUCCCUGGGAAACNUUUAAGUCUAUCGGUUCUGGGGGGAGUAUGGUUGCAAAUCCGAAACUUAAAGGAAUUGACGGAAGGGCACCACCAGGAGUGGAGCCUGCGGCUUAAUUUGACUCAACACGGGAAAACUCACCCGGCCCGGACACUGUGAGGAUUGACAGAUUGAUAGCUCUUUCUUGAUUCAGUGGGUGGUGGUGCAUGGCCGUUCUUAGUUCGUGGAGUGAUUUGUCUGGUUAAUUCCGAUAACGAACGAGACUCUAGCCUGCUAACUAGUUACCACGUAAUCAUUGCGUGGACUAACUUCUUAGAGGGAUUCGCUACUUAUAGUGGCAUGAAAAGGAGCAAUAACAGGUCUGUGAUGCCCUUAGAUGUUCGGGGCCGCACGUGCGCUACACUGACGAUAUCAAUGAGUAUCUUCCUGAGCCGAAAGGUUCGGGAAAUCUUUUGAAUCAUCGUCAUGUCAGGGAUUGGGGCUUGUAAUUAUUCCCCAUGAACGAGGAAUUCCCAGUAAGCGCAAGUCAUAAGCUUGCGUUGAUUACGUCCCUGCCCUUUGUACACACCGCCCGUCGCUACUACCGAUUGAAUGGCUUAGUGAGGCCUUUGGAUUGAAAUCGAAGAAGCGGUUCUCCGUUUAAUCGAUUUCGAGAAAAUCGUCAAACUUGGUCAUUUAGAGGAAGUAAAAGUCGUAACAAGGUUUCCGUAGGUGAACCUGCAGAUGGAUC
This 1800-nucleotide ribosomal RNA is filed under the name Zonorhynchus seminascatus. RNAcentral describes it as "SSU rRNA". It matches the Rfam family "Eukaryotic small subunit ribosomal RNA". Lineage: Eukaryota; Metazoa; Platyhelminthes; Rhabdocoela. The record is from RNAcentral.